AGAGUUUGAUCCUGGCUCAGGACGAACGCUGGCGGCGUGCUUAACACAUGCAAGUCGAGCGGUAAGGCCCUUCGGGGUACACGAGCGGCGAACGGGUGAGUAACACGUGGGUGACCUGCCCUCAGCUCUGGGAUAAGCCUGGGAAACUGGGUCUAAUACCGGAUAUGACCUUCCAUCGCAUGGUGGGGGGUGGAAAGUUUUUCGGCUGGGGAUGGGCCCGCGGCCUAUCAGCUUGUUGGUGGGGUGAUGGCCUACCAAGGCGACGACGGGUAGCCGGCCUGAGAGGGCGACCGGCCACACUGGGACUGAGACACGGCCCAGACUCCUACGGGAGGCAGCAGUGGGGAAUAUUGCGCAAUGGGCGAAAGCCUGACGCAGCGACGCCGCGUGGGGGAUGACGGCCUUCGGGUU
RNAcentral lists this ribosomal RNA (411 nucleotides) under uncultured Actinomycetes bacterium. RNAcentral's name for it is "bacterial SSU rRNA". It matches the Rfam family "Bacterial small subunit ribosomal RNA", at positions 8 to 424 of the family's 1533-position model. The record is from RNAcentral. Lineage: Bacteria; Bacillati; Actinomycetota; Actinomycetes.